This is a non-coding RNA of Podarcis lilfordi (Lilford's wall lizard), 78 nucleotides long. NCBI's taxonomy places the organism in Eukaryota, Metazoa, Chordata, Lepidosauria, Squamata, Lacertidae. The record is from the annotation of a GenBank genome assembly.
GGUCUGCAGCUCAGAGGUAAGAGCAUCUGCUUUGAAUGCAGAAGGUCCCAGGUUCAAUCCCCAUAGAAUUGUAGAGUU